RNAcentral lists this ribosomal RNA (536 nucleotides) under uncultured bacterium. Its description in RNAcentral is "bacterial SSU rRNA". It matches the Rfam family "Bacterial small subunit ribosomal RNA", at positions 97 to 611 of the family's 1533-position model. The record is from RNAcentral.
GGCGGACGGGUGAGGAAUACGUGGGUAACGUGCCCUUGACUCAGGGAUAGCUGCGGGAAACUGCAGGUAAUACCUGAUGAGACCACAAAUGUCAUAUGACAUAGAGGUCAAAGAUGGGGACCCUUCGGGGCCUAUUGGUCAUGGAGCGGCCCACGUCCUAUCAGCUAGUUGGUGAGGUAACGACCCACCAAGGCUGCGACGGGUACCGGGGCUGAGAGGUCGGCCCGGCACAUUGGCACUGAGACACUGGCCAGACUCCUACGGGAGGCUGCAGUAACGAAUAUUCCGCAAUGGGCGAAAGCCUGACGGAGCGACGCCGCGUGUGGGAUGAAGUCCUUCGGGAUGUAAACCACUGUCAGGGGUUACCAAGUGAACAAGGCUAAUACCCUUGUAAGCUGAGGCACCCCAGAGGAAGCCACGGCUAACUUCGUGCCAGCAGCCGCGGUAAUACGAAGGUGGCGAGCGUUGUUCGGAAUCAUUGGGCUUAAAGAGCACGUAGGCGGCUCAUCAAGUGUCCUGUGAAAUCCCUCGGCUCA